Molecule: ribosomal RNA, 332 nt
Filed under: uncultured Chlorobiota bacterium
Lineage: Bacteria; Pseudomonadati; Chlorobiota
Description: bacterial SSU rRNA
Rfam family: Bacterial small subunit ribosomal RNA
Source: RNAcentral
GACGAACGCUGGCGGCGUGCCUAACACAUGCAAGUCAACGAGAAAAGGGUAGCAAUAUCCUGAGUAAAGUGGCGCAAGGGUGAGUAAUAUGUAAGUAAUCUACCCAUGGAUUUGGAAUAACGAAGAGAAAUCGGCGCUAAUACCAAAUAAUGCAAUAACAUUACAUGAUGAUGUUGUUAAAGUUUCAGCAAUGAAACGUCUGUGGAUGAGCUUGCAUCUGAUUAGCUAGUUGGUAGGGUAAAAGCCUACCAAGGCAACGAUCAGUAGCUGGUCUUAGAGGAUGAUCAGCCACACUGGAACUGAGACACGGUCCAGACUCCUACGGGUGGCUG